UACGUAGGUGGCAAGCGUUAUCCAGAAUUACUGGGCGUAAAGCGCACGCAGGCGGUCUUUUAAGUUUGACGUGAAAGCUCCCGGCUUAACUGGGAGAGGUCGUUGAAGACUGGAAGACUUGAGGCAAUGAGAGGGGUGUAGAAUUCCCGGUGUAGUGGUGGAAUGCGUAGAUAUCGGGGGGAAUACCAGUGGCGAAAGCGGCACCCUAGCGUUAGCCUGACGCUCAUGUGCGAAAGCGUGGGGAGCGAACGGG
RNAcentral lists this ribosomal RNA (253 nucleotides) under uncultured bacterium. RNAcentral describes it as "partial 16S ribosomal RNA". It matches the Rfam family "Bacterial small subunit ribosomal RNA", at positions 524 to 776 of the family's 1533-position model. The record is from RNAcentral.